Molecule: ribosomal RNA, 511 nt
Filed under: uncultured bacterium
Lineage: Bacteria
Description: bacterial SSU rRNA
Rfam family: Bacterial small subunit ribosomal RNA
Source: RNAcentral
AGCGAACGUUAGCGGCGGGCCUAACACAUGCAAGUCGAACGCGAAAGGUCUUCGGACUGAUUAGAGUGGCGCACGGGUGAGUAACACGUAGGUAAUCUACCCUUUGGCGGGGGAUAACGUUCCGAAAGGAGCGCUAAUACCGCAUAAGACCACGGAGUCUCCGGACGCUGUGGGAAAAGGUGGCCUCUUCUUGAAAGCUAUCACCGGAGGAUGAGCCUGCGUCCCAUCAGCUAGUUGGUAAGGUAAUGGCUUACCAAGGCAAAGACGGGUAGCUGGUUUGAGAGAAUGAUCAGCCACACUGGCACUGGAACACGGGCCAGACUCCUACGGGAGGCAGCAGUGAGGAAUAUUGGGCAAUGGGCGAAAGCCUGACCCAGCCACGCCGCGUGAGUGAUGAAGGCCCUCGGGUCGUAAAGCUCUGUGGAGAGGGACGAAAAACCUGGGGUCCAAUAGGCCCCGGACUUGACGGUACCUCUUUAGCAAGCACCGGCUAACUCUGUGCCAGCAGCCG